Molecule: ribosomal RNA, 380 nt
Filed under: uncultured eukaryote
Lineage: Eukaryota
Description: SSU rRNA
Rfam family: Eukaryotic small subunit ribosomal RNA
Source: RNAcentral
AGCUCCAAUAGCGUAUAUUAAAGUUGCUGCGUUUAAAAAGCUCGUAGUUGGAUCUCAGUCUCGAUCGAGCGGUCCGUCUUCUGACGGCACUGCGCGAAUCGGACAUUCCGCCGCGUUUCUCCUCAUGCUCUUCACUGAGUGUGAGGGGAGAGUGGUACGUUUACUUUGAAAAAAUUAGAGUGCUCAAAGCAGGCCACCGCCUGAAUAGUCGUGCAUGGAAUGAUGGAAUAGGACCUCGGUUCUAUUUUGUUGGUUUCCGGAACUUGAGGUAAUGAUUAAUAGGGACGGACGGGGGCAUUUGUAUUGCGACGUUAGAGGUGAAAUUCUUAGAUCGUCGCAAGACAAACUACUGCGAAAGCAUUUGCCAAGAAUGUUUUCAU